UCUUUCAUUUGGGUACAACAAUCUCUGACCAUUUUAAGAGUUAAAGUUAGAAAAUUGUAUUGGAGCAAAUAUAUAUCAUCAUGAAGCUACGAAGCAUUCUCCUUUCUGUGUGCGUUUUGUUUGCUAUCUUCAGCCACACUUAUGGGGAAAUCAGUUUUUGCCCCAAAAAGAUGACACUGGAUGGCCUAUGUCCACUUGGGAGUUUAGGACAAACCUGCUUUCAUGAAUUCCUUGCACGACUGGGAGCAAGUGCCAUGCCUAUGAACUGCACUUGUAAAGAUCAUCAUUUCAAGAAUAAGCGCACAUGCACUUGUGAUGUUGUUUGUGACGCGUGAGACAAUCUUGUGUAUGUGUAUAGAGUGCAAUCCAAAUAACGAGAAAAUAACAAAUGUGGACUGAUCUUAUAUUUUAUAUAUAUUGGAAAUUUUGAAAGGGAACACCCAAUGUUAAGUUA
Molecule: long non-coding RNA, 454 nt
Organism: Glycine soja
Lineage: Eukaryota; Viridiplantae; Streptophyta; Magnoliopsida; Fabales; Fabaceae
Exons: 2
Source: RefSeq, a predicted model, not a curated record